Terrapene triunguis (Three-toed box turtle) is the source of this 3417-nucleotide long non-coding RNA. RefSeq lists it as uncharacterized. The transcript is spliced from 2 exons. The record is from RefSeq and is a predicted model, not a curated record. NCBI's taxonomy places the organism in Eukaryota, Metazoa, Chordata, Testudines, Emydidae.
ACAUGUUUAAUAUUUGCACAUUACAAGUAAAAUCUGUUCCCUUCAUUCAUGAUUCAGUGUGGUCACAGUAAAACUUCAGUCACUUUGCUAUUAUUAACAUGAUUUGAACAUACUGGAAAUGAUUUUAUCAUCAGAUACACUUUUGGGAACAAUAGAACACACAAACUGCCAUUGCAAAGCUAUAGAAAUAAAGCUGAGCUAGUAUUUAAUAAUUGAAAACUUAUCAGGUAUUUGUAUAUUGGCGCAGGGUUGGGUGUUUAUAAACCUGCCAAUUUCACUGCCUAUCUAAACCUCAACAGGAUACAAGACAAACCUGGGAGCUACAUAUUUAUUUUGCAAAUAAGUCAGUUUGGGGAUCAAAAUGACAGUACUGGUGCACAAGGUCCUUUAUUUAUCCAUUGCCUUACUCAAAAAACAUUGACGUCACUGGAAAGACUCCCCUUGACUUCAACAGGCUUUGGAUCAGGUCCACAAAUAGAGGUAGGGCAAUGGAAGUGCAAACUUUCCACUAUUAAGACUAAGAGGGUGGUUGGUGCUAAUUUAGGGCCUUGAUUAUUGACCUCACUGAUCAGAGUAGUGUAAAUUGCAAUACAAUUUCUUAUGGUGUGGAUAUCUGUCCAUUUUCUGGACCAAGAUCACCAAGCUUAUUUUACAUAGGUUACCAAAUAGUAAUUUUGUAUAGUCACCAUAACCCUGGAAAGAGAACAGGAGCUGAAUAUUUUGCACUGACAUUACCAACUGCCUACGCAUCCAGCCUGAAUGUCGCAAUUUAUUUUUUAAAAAUUGCUUAAACUCAGCUAGUCUAAUGCUAUUUCAACACUGCUAAAUUUAAUCAAGUUGUUUCUAGUGAUAAGAUGAAAAUUUCUUGUCUAGACUAAUGAAUGCAGAUUACAUAAAAUUCCAACAAUCACUUGAAAACCAAAAUGAAACUUCUUUUUUUAGAAACAUGAAAUAAAAAGGUAAAAAUUACAUUUAUUCCCCCCCCCCAUAAACAUUGAACAGUAGGAAAAGGCCAAAGGCUGCUUUGGUUUCAUCUUCUUCUUAAAAGAGAUCAUCUCUGAAAAGGCAUCAAAUGGCAUAAAUCCAGACAACAGCAGCACUAAUUCUUGAUUUUAAAAUGUGCCAGGAUUUCUACUUAGGACCUCUGGCAAUAAAAAUGAUGCCUGUAGUCUCUAUCCAUGCCAAAAAACAAAACAAAAAUUUUUUUAAAGCUUUUUCACCCCACAGGGUGCUGCAAUAUUGCAGGAGCUUCCUUUGCCUAGAAGCUAAAAUCCUGACCCAGAUUGCCUCGUAAAGACAGUACCAUGAAAAAGGUGAGAAAAGAUCACAGUGAACUAUUCAUCUCUACCUUCGAUUAUCAGUGCAAGUCCUGGCUACAGCUUAAAGGAAGUUCCCACCAGUUUCCAUAUCUCAGUGCAAGCUAAGUAAUAGGAGCACCAGUUAAAUUUUGACAGUCUUCAGGGAAAGACCUAGAUGCUUGCUUAUCUGACUAACAAAAGGUCACCGUGGAUCUCUUCCAGCUUAUUUUGAACUUCUUUUAAAAAACCACAACCAAAUUUUCCCUUUCCCUUCUCGAUAAUGAUUCUUCCACAUUGAACUGCAUUUGGCUGGUGCUUCAGACAACAUUACAGCUUAUUAGAGCUGGUUGGGAGCCACAAUUUCCAUUCUGCAGGAGAGCCUGACAAAAAAAAAUUGCUCCAAACCAGAACGAAAAGCCAAAAUUUUGUAGUUUCCUGUGAACCAAAAAUUAAGAGGGGGAAAAAAGAAAAAUCAACUUGGGACCAUCUAAACAUUUAUUUUCAAUAGCUUUGAAAUGUUUCAUCAAUGUAAAAACAUUUCAUUUCAAAAGUGUCAUUUCAAUUCAUUUUGUUGUGACUUUUAUACCAUAUUAAAAUAUUACAUACAUGUUUAAUACCAAAAGCCAAACAAAAAUCAAAAUUACUCUGAACACAAAAUGUUUUGACUUUUACCCAUUGCAAAAUUUAGUCAAAAAUCUGUACGUUCCUGCAAAAAGUUUUGAUUUAGUCAAAACUGCAUUAUGACAGAAAAGUGUUCUAUCCCAUUUUUUUUUUAAACCAGAUCUAUUUAACCCUUGAGGUGGGACCAUAGGGGCAAAUGACUCAAAUACAACCACUACUGGCUCAAGUCUGUUUCCUCAUGCAUGGAUGAGAGAGAGAUGCUGUAUUCAUUUUCCUCAAAAUGGAAAAGGAAACACCAGGCAAAUGAAACAUUUGAAUUCCACUGGGCACCCCUUUUAUCUGUAUGAUCAGGACCACUAAGGCAGCAGUCAGAAUGGAGAUAUUCAAGGCACGUGAUCCUUAAUGUGCAAAGGCCUUUAUUAUGCAUUUCACUGCAGACUAGAUUGGCCUCUUCCUUUAGCCUGAUAUUAAGCUGCCAUGAAUAAACAAUGUCCCACCCAAAUCCUAAAUUUAGAAUUUUCCUAACAUACUGCAAGCUAAUCUGCCAGGACCCAACUGACCCAACUUCCCAUGUUCUACUAGGACAGAGGGACUCCCUCCCAAUUUAACCACUGACCUCUAGUCUAUUUACAGCAGUGGAGAGAACAUGGGAUUAGUGCAAAGCUCUUUAUGCAGGUCGCAAGUUGCAGAGAAAUAGGCCAUUCUACGAAAAGGCACUUUUUCCACAUAAGCAGUGCUAGAUUUUACAUGAAAUUCAGAGGCAAAGAGUGUGACCAAAUAAAGCGCACGCUUUGUGAUGCAGCCUGACCAAAUUAAGUCCGUGCCUUGACCAUUAGGCUGUCCUUGGCUCAACUAACAUUUCAUUGCUCAGCUGGACUGAGGCCAAGUAAAAGAGAAAUACCAGAAAUAGGAUACCAUACUACCCAGACCAGGGAUCUGUUCCAGCCUGGCAAUUUCUUGCAUUUCUAUCCAUUUAUAUAGACAGGAAUAGCAGCUGCACUGACACAAGCUGGAAAAAACAUACAAGGGCUAUCAAUGCUAAUGUCUCAGAUAUAAAAUGUUCAUGAGGUAGGGCCCAGGAAGAUCCCCAGCGUAUAGUGUUGCAAAGUUACAAUGGGUACACAGUUUGCCUUCCUCUGAAAUAGCCAACAUCGGCUCCAGUGGAUGGAGACAGGAUACUGACAUACAGCAGCCCCAUGGUCUGUGUAAGAACACCGUUCCUAUGCUCUUAGACAUGGUUGGUUUUUGGUGUCUUAUGGAGUCUUCCUGACUUAAUUGCUUCCAGCUCCUUCCUGACUGCUAUGGGACAGCCCCUGGCCUGGUCACUCAGGGAAGAAAAAACUAUUCAUCCAGUGUCCAGUAUGUUUUCCUUCUACCAGACUCCUGCACCCAACCAGUCUGGGUCUGUCACAAUAGGCAGAUGGAAACUCUUCAGGAAUUCGAAGCACCCAGCUCUACCUAUUGCAUGUAGCAGCAUCUAAUAAAUCCCAACAAAGCA